Molecule: ribosomal RNA, 428 nt
Filed under: uncultured bacterium
Lineage: Bacteria
Description: bacterial SSU rRNA
Rfam family: Bacterial small subunit ribosomal RNA
Source: RNAcentral
ACUCCUACGGGAGGCAGCAGUGGGGAAUAUUGCACAAUGGGGGAAGCCCUGAUGCAGCCAUGCCGCGUGUGUGAAGAAGGCCUUCGGGUUGUAAAGCACUUUCAGUAGGGAGGAAGGUAGUGUAGUUAACACCUGCACUAUUUGACGUUACCUACAGAAGAAGCACCGGCUAACUCCGUGCCAGCAGCCGCGGUAAUACGGAGGGUGCGAGCGUUAAUCGGAAUUACUGGGCGUAAAGCGCAUGCAGGCGGCCUGUUAAGUCAGAUGUGAAAGCCCGGGGCUUAACCUCGGAAUUGCAUUUGAAACUGGCAGGCUAGAGUCUUGUAGAGGGGGGUAGAAUUUCAGGUGUAGCGGUGAAAUGCGUAGAGAUCUGAAGGAAUACCAGUGGCGAAGGCGGCCCCCUGGACAAAGACUGACGCUCAGAUGCG